AUUGAACGCUGGCGGCAGGCCUAACACAUGCAAGUCGAGCGAGCGGCGGACGGGUGAGUAAUGCCUAGGUAUGUGACUGGUCGUGGGGGAUAACGUCCGGAAAUGGAAACUAAUACCGCAUACUCUCAGAUGCGGCCAGACUGGAUUAGCUUGUUGGUGGGGUAAGGGCUCACCAAGGCGUAGACCCCUAGCUGGUCUGAGAGGAUGAGCAGCCACACGGGAACUGAGACACGGUCCAGACUCCUACGUGAGGCAGCAGUGGGGAAUAUUGCACAAUGGGCGCAAGCCUGAUGCAGCCAUGCCGCGUGUAUGAAGAAGGCCUUCGGGUUGUAAAGUACUUUCAGCGGGGAGGCGUUACCCGCAGAAGAAGCACCGGCUAACUCCGUGCCAGCAGCCGCGGUAAUUC
Molecule: ribosomal RNA, 406 nt
Filed under: uncultured bacterium
Lineage: Bacteria
Description: partial 16S ribosomal RNA
Rfam family: Bacterial small subunit ribosomal RNA
Source: RNAcentral